GUUCCAUUUUGCGUCACUUCUAAAUGUAACCCCUAGAUGCUUAUGAGAUCGCACAAUUGGUAUUUCUUUGUUGUUCAUAGUAAAAUUAAGGUUUUGUAUCUCAUUAUUUGAAAACAUCAUAAUUUCUGUUUUUUUCAGGAUUGAAAGACAUAAGCCACUUUCUUGACCAUUCAUCCAGCUGUCUCAGGUCACGACUAACAACUGACUGUAUAAGUUCCUCGUCAUGACCCGAGUAACUGAAUGAAGUGUCAUCUGCAAAUAGUCUGCAUAAAGAAGUUAACUGUUCAGCA
RNAcentral lists this long non-coding RNA (290 nucleotides) under Mytilus galloprovincialis (Mediterranean mussel). Lineage: Eukaryota; Metazoa; Mollusca; Bivalvia; Mytilida; Mytilidae. The record is from RNAcentral.